This 549-nucleotide ribosomal RNA is filed under the name Pelobates cultripes (western spadefoot toad). It matches the Rfam family "Eukaryotic small subunit ribosomal RNA", at positions 130 to 582 of the family's 1831-position model. The record is from RNAcentral. Lineage: Eukaryota; Metazoa; Chordata; Amphibia; Anura; Pelobatidae.
UUUUUUAAUUGGGGUAGCCCCAAAAAUAUUGGGACAUAAAAAAAGAAUAAGUGCACUUGAGUAUAACAAUGGCUGGGUGAGGCCAGUAUCAAUGUCUAUUCUGCACAAGGUACAGACAAGUCUGGUGGGAUGCAUGCCUGGUUCAUUUUAAUAAACGUGAGCUUGUCCACGUUGGCCGUGGACAGACGGCUGCUUUUGUUUCUGAUAACCUCGUGCCGAUCGCACGUCCCUGUGACGGCGACAACGCAUUUGGAUGUCUGCCCUAUCAACUUUCGAUGCUAUUUUCCGCACCUGCCAUGGUGACCACAGGUAAUGGGGAAUCAGGGUUCAAUUCCAGAGAGGGAGCCUGAGAAACGGCUACCACAUGCAAGGAAGGCAGCAGACGCACAAAUUACCCGCUCCCAACGCGGGGAGGUAGUGACAAAUAACAAUACACUACUCUUUCGAGGCACUGUAAUUGUAAUGAGUCCACUUUAAAUCCUUUAACUUGGAUCAAUUGGAGGGGAAGUCUGGUGCAGAGUGAUUGACCUGUGCAUGCUGCAGCUGAAA